RNAcentral lists this small nuclear RNA (117 nucleotides) under Anneissia japonica. RNAcentral's name for it is "U5 spliceosomal RNA". It matches the Rfam family "U5 spliceosomal RNA". From Rfam's summary of the family: U5 RNA is a component of both types of known spliceosome. The precise function of this molecule is unknown, though it is known that the 5' loop is required for splice site selection and p220 binding, and that both the 3' stem-loop and the Sm site are important for Sm protein binding and cap methylation. Lineage: Eukaryota; Metazoa; Echinodermata; Crinoidea; Comatulida; Comatulidae. The record is from RNAcentral.
UGCAUCUGGUUUCUCUGCAUCACGCAUUAAUCUUUCGCAUUUACUAAAGAUUUCGUGCAGAGGAACACUCUUUGAGUUUAAACUCAAUUUUUCUCAGCACUUGAGGAAAUCAAGGGU